CCAAACAGAGUCUGACUGGUGCGCUUGUGAAAAAACUGUUUCAUCAAAAGUCCAUUUAUGUCAGACCAGACAAGGUGCUUAUAACGGAGGAAAAGGAGCUUUCAAUUCCAGAUGGAGACAGUCAACAGACAAACAGCAGUGAACCCCAAGAAGCAUCAGAUGACAUAAAUGAUGCCACACAGUCCCUCUCCAGUGGUGAUCAAAUUAUCUGGUGUGCAGCCAACCAAGCUGUUUUUACAGAUGAACCUAGCAGCUCAAAAGACAACAAUACCAUGUCUAGUUGUGCUGCCAUCAUUACCAUUGAUAGUAUUCACACCUUGCCCAGUCAAGCUUCUGUAAUCUCCAGUGGUAACACAGAUGUCUUUCCCAUUAUAUCGUCUGCUAUCUGCAGUAAUCCCACCAAUGGCUUGUCCUGUGGCACAAAUUUAAAUUCAAAUGAUGACCCACAUAACCAUUCAGCUACCCCCACCUCUGCCGUAUCCAGUGAUCAUACCCCUACCAUCUCUGGUGCUAUAUCCUCAACUGCCUCCAGUGCAUCCAGCUAUAAUUUAACCAGAACCCCCUACAGUACUUAUCAGGACCUAUUUGAGGAAGAAUAUCUAUCUGAUGAUCCUGAUCUCCAAGAAGCCAUUUCAAGAUCUUUGACUGCUAGAACCAAUGAGAGUGAUUCAGUGAUAAGUUUGGAAGGAAUAAUGGAGCAGAUUACUUCAAGAAUAAAAAAUGACGACACUGUGCG
Clarias gariepinus (North African catfish) is the source of this 736-nucleotide long non-coding RNA. RefSeq lists it as uncharacterized. The record is from RefSeq and is a predicted model, not a curated record. NCBI's taxonomy places the organism in Eukaryota, Metazoa, Chordata, Actinopteri, Siluriformes, Clariidae. The transcript has 5 exons.